This 405-nucleotide ribosomal RNA is filed under the name uncultured bacterium. RNAcentral's name for it is "partial 16S ribosomal RNA". It matches the Rfam family "Bacterial small subunit ribosomal RNA", at positions 28 to 526 of the family's 1533-position model. The record is from RNAcentral.
GAUGAACGCUGGCGGCGUGCCUAAUACAUGCAAGUCGAGCGAAGGGGGGACGGGGGAGUAACACGUGGUAAACCUCCUAUAACACCGGGUUAACUUGGGGAAACCGGUGCUAAACCUGAUAUUCAUAGAUGGCUCUGCGAUGCAUUAGCUAGUUGGUAAGGUAACGGCUUACUAAGGCAACGAUGCAUAGCCGACCUGAGAGGGUGAUCGGCCACACUGGAACGGAGACACGGCCCAGACUCCUACGGGAGGCAGCAGUAGGGAAUCUUCCGCAAUGGGCGAAAGCCUGACGGAGCAACGCCGCGUGAGUGAAGAAGGUCUUCGGAUCGUAAAACUCUGUUAUUAGGGAAGCGGUACCUAAUCAGAAAGCCACGGCUAACUACGUGCCAGCAGCCGCGGUAAUAC